GAUGAACGCUGGCGGCGUGCCUAAUACAUGCAAGUCGAGCGAACAGACGAGGAGCUUGCUCCUCUGACGUUAGCGGCGGACGGGUGAGUAACACGUGGAUAACCUACCUAUAAGACUGGGAUAACUUCGGGAAACCGGAGCUAAUACCGGAUAAUAUAUUGAACCGCAUGGUUCAAUAGUGAAAGACGGUUUUGCUGUCACUUAUAGAUGUAUCCGCGUCGCAUUAGUUAGUUGGUAAGGUAACGGCUUACCAAGGCAACGAUGCGUAGCCGACCUGAGAGGGUGAUCGCCCACACUGGAGGUGAGACACGGCCCAGACUCCUACGGGAGGCACCAGCAGGGACUCUUCCGCAAUGGGCGGAAGCCUGACGGAGCAGCGCCGCGUGGGUGAUGAAGGUCUUCGGAGCGUAAUACUCUGUUAUUAGGGAAGAACAAAUGUGUAAGUAACUAUGCACGUCUUGACGGUACCUAGUCAGGAAGCCCCGGCUAACUACGUG
This 497-nucleotide ribosomal RNA is filed under the name uncultured bacterium. RNAcentral's name for it is "partial 16S ribosomal RNA". It matches the Rfam family "Bacterial small subunit ribosomal RNA", at positions 28 to 507 of the family's 1533-position model. The record is from RNAcentral.